UACGGGGGGGGCAAGCGUUGUUCGGAAUUACUGGGCGUAAAGGGCUCGUAGGCGGCCAACUAAGUCGGACGUGAAAUCCCCAGGCUCAACCUGGGAACUGCGUCCGAUACUGGAUGGCUUGAAUUCGGGAGAGGGAUGCAGAAUUCCAGGUGUAGCGGUGAAAUGCGUAGAUAUCUGGAGGAAUACCGGUGGCGAAGGCGGCAUCCUGGACCGACAUUGACGCUGAGGAGCGAAAGCUAGGGGAGCAAACGGG
Molecule: ribosomal RNA, 253 nt
Filed under: uncultured bacterium
Lineage: Bacteria
Also listed under: 1 other name
Description: partial 16S ribosomal RNA
Rfam family: Bacterial small subunit ribosomal RNA
Source: RNAcentral